GAUGAACGCUGGCGGCGUGCCUAAUACAUGCAAGUCGAGCGAACGGACGAGAAGCUUGCUUCUCUGAUGUUAGCGGCGGACGGGUGAGUAAUACGUGGAUAACCUACCUAUAAGACUGGGAUAACUUCGGGAAACCGGAGCUAAUACCGGAUAAUAUUUUGAACCGCAUGGUUCAACAGUGAAAGACGGUCUUGCUGUCACUUAUAGAUGGAUCCGCGCUGCAUUAGCUAGUUGGUAAGGUAACGGCUUACCAAGGCAACGAUGCAUAGCCGACCUGAGAGGGUGAUCAGCCACACUGGAACUGAGACACGGUCCAGACUCCUACGGGAGGCAGCAGUAGGGAAUCUUCCGCAAUGGGCGAAAGCCUGACGGAGCAACGCCGCGUGAGUGAUGAAGGUCUUCGGAUCGUAAAACUCUGUUAUUAGGGAAGAACAUAUGUGUAAGUAACUGUGCACAUCUUGACGUUACCUAAUCAGAAAGCCACGGCUAACUACGUG
Molecule: ribosomal RNA, 497 nt
Filed under: uncultured bacterium
Lineage: Bacteria
Description: partial 16S ribosomal RNA
Rfam family: Bacterial small subunit ribosomal RNA
Source: RNAcentral